RNAcentral lists this ribosomal RNA (322 nucleotides) under uncultured eukaryote. RNAcentral's name for it is "partial 18S ribosomal RNA". It matches the Rfam family "Eukaryotic small subunit ribosomal RNA", at positions 1469 to 1796 of the family's 1831-position model. The record is from RNAcentral.
ACCCUUAGAUGUCCUGGGCCGCACGCGCGCUACACUGACAUGUUCAACAAGCCUCCUAGUUCGACAGGAUUUGGGAAAUCUUUGAACGCAUGUCGUGAUAGGGAUAGAUCAUUGCAAUUAUUGAUCUUGAACGAGGAAUUCCCAGUAAACGCGAGUCAUCAGCUCGCAUUGAUUACGUCCCUGCCCUUUGUACACACCGCCCGUCGCACCUACCGAUUGAAUGUUUCGGUGAAGAUUCCGGAUAGGACUUUUUUGAUUUAUUUCAAUUUUGUCUUAAAAGCUAUCUAAACCUCAACAUUUAGAGGAGGGUGAAGUCGUAACA